RNAcentral lists this unclassified non-coding RNA (201 nucleotides) under Hevea brasiliensis (rubber tree). The record is from RNAcentral. Lineage: Eukaryota; Viridiplantae; Streptophyta; Magnoliopsida; Malpighiales; Euphorbiaceae.
GCUUCCGAAAACCACCCAAAUCCGGCAUAAACCAGCACAAGACCUUGGAAUUUCCCAAACCCCACAGCAGCAAGCGCUUCAUCCAGCGUAUAUACAAGCCUUUCGGAUUCCAUCUUGGUUAAUGGUUGGUUUUAUUCUCCUUCUGGCUGUUAUGUAUGGUCGAAAAUGGAUAUACAAGUUGCAGAAAUCGAGGAAAUUCAC